RNAcentral lists this transfer RNA (72 nucleotides) under Candidatus Parcubacteria bacterium. RNAcentral's name for it is "tRNA-Thr". It matches the Rfam family "tRNA". Rfam says of the family: Transfer RNA (tRNA) molecules are approximately 80 nucleotides in length. The record is from RNAcentral. Lineage: Bacteria; Candidatus Parcubacteria.
GCCGGCGUAGCUCAGUGGUAGAGCAGCGGUUUUGUAAACCGUUGGUCGUGGGUUCGAAUCCCUCCGCCGGCU